Molecule: ribosomal RNA, 1960 nt
Filed under: Staphylococcus aureus
Lineage: Bacteria; Bacillati; Bacillota; Bacilli; Caryophanales; Staphylococcaceae
Description: partial 23S ribosomal RNA
Rfam family: Bacterial large subunit ribosomal RNA
Source: RNAcentral
AAAUUCCGUCGGAAUCUGGGAGGACCAUCUCCUAAGGCUAAAUACUCUCUAGUGACCGAUAGUGAACCAGUACCGUGAGGGAAAGGUGAAAAGCACCCCGGAAGGGGAGUGAAAUAGAACCUGAAACCGUGUGCUUACAAGUAGUCAGAGCCCGUUAAUGGGUGAUGGCGUGCCUUUUGUAGAAUGAACCGGCGAGUUACGAUUUGAUGCAAGGUUAAGCAGUAAAUGUGGAGCCGUAGCGAAAGCGAGUCUGAAUAGGGCGUUUAGUAUUUGGUCGUAGACCCGAAACCAGGUGAUCUACCCUUGGUCAGGUUGAAGUUCAGGUAACACUGAAUGGAGGACCGAACCGACUUACGUUGAAAAGUGAGCGGAUGAACUGAGGGUAGCGGAGAAAUUCCAAUCGAACCUGGAGAUAGCUGGUUCUCUCCGAAAUAGCUUUAGGGCUAGCCUCAAGUGAUGAUUAUUGGAGGUAGAGCACUGUUUGGACGAGGGGCCCCUCUCGGGUUACCGAAUUCAGACAAACUCCGAAUGCCAAUUAAUUUAACUUGGGAGUCAGAACAUGGGUGAUAAGGUCCGUGUUCGAAAGGGAAACAGCCCAGACCACCAGCUAAGGUCCCAAAAUAUAUGUUAAGUGGAAAAGGAUGUGGCGUUGCCCAGACAACUAGGAUGUUGGCUUAGAAGCAGCCAUCAUUUAAAGAGUGCGUAAUAGCUCACUAGUCGAGUGACACUGCGCCGAAAAUGUACCGGGGCUAAACAUAUUACCGAAGCUGUGGAUUGUCCUUUGGACAAUGGUAGGAGAGCGUUCUAAGGGCGUUGAAGCAUGAUCGUAAGGACAUGUGGAGCGCUUAGAAGUGAGAAUGCCGGUGUGAGUAGCGAAAGACGGGUGAGAAUCCCGUCCACCGAUUGACUAAGGUUUCCAGAGGAAGGCUCGUCCGCUCUGGGUUAGUCGGGUCCUAAGCUGAGGCCGACAGGCGUAGGCGAUGGAUAACAGGUUGAUAUUCCUGUACCACCUAUAAUCGUUUUAAUCGAUGGGGGGACGCAGUAGGAUAGGCGAAGCGUGCGAUUGGAUUGCACGUCUAAGCAGUAAGGCUGAGUAUUAGGCAAAUCCGGUACUCGUUAAGGCUGAGCUGUGAUGGGGAGAAGACAUUGUGUCUUCGAGUCGUUGAUUUCACACUGCCGAGAAAAGCCUCUAGAUAGAAAAUAGGUGCCCGUACCGCAAACCGACACAGGUAGUCAAGAUGAGAAUUCUAAGGUGAGCGAGCGAACUCUCGUUAAGGAACUCGGCAAAAUGACCCCGUAACUUCGGGAGAAGGGGUGCUCUUUAGGGUUAACGCCCAGAAGAGCCGCAGUGAAUAGGCCCAAGCGACUGUUUAUCAAAAACACAGGUCUCUGCUAAACCGUAAGGUGAUGUAUAGGGGCUGACGCCUGCCCGGUGCUGGAAGGUUAAGAGGAGUGGUUAGCUUCUGCGAAGCUACGAAUCGAAGCCCCAGUAAACGGCGGCCGUAACUAUAACGGUCCUAAGGUAGCGAAAUUCCUUGUCGGGUAAGUUCCGACCCGCACGAAAGGCGUAACGAUUUGGGCACUGUCUCAACGAGAGACUCGGUGAAAUCAUAGUACCUGUGAAGAUGCAGGUUACCCGCGACAGGACGGAAAGACCCCGUGGAGCUUUACUGUAGCCUGAUAUUGAAAUUCGGCACAGCUUGUACAGGAUAGGUAGGAGCCUUUGAAACGUGAGCGCUAGCUUACGUGGAGGCGCUGGUGGGAUACUACCCUAGCUGUGUUGGCUUUCUAACCCGCACCACUUAUCGUGGUGGGAGACAGUGUCAGGCGGGCAGUUUGACUGGGGCGGUCGCCUCCUAAAAGGUAACGGAGGCGCUCAAAGGUUCCCUCAGAAUGGUUGGAAAUCAUUCAUAGAGUGUAAAGGCAUAAGGGAGCUUGACUGCGAGACCUACAAGUCGAG